Octopus sinensis (East Asian common octopus) is the source of this 308-nucleotide long non-coding RNA. RefSeq lists it as uncharacterized. The transcript has 3 exons. Lineage: Eukaryota; Metazoa; Mollusca; Cephalopoda; Octopoda; Octopodidae. The record is from RefSeq and is a predicted model, not a curated record.
CUGCAUAUGCGUCUUGCCAUACUAUAAGGAAUGUUUCUUUUUAUGUGGGAUGGAUGGCAAGAGUAGAAAUUUAAAUAUUGGUAUGUGUCGGUUUUUUGUAGUAGAUGUCUGUUGUGACGAUGGAGUUGUGUAUCUUGAUGUUGAUGUCUAGGAAGGGAAGUUCGUUGUGGCUGGUAUCUAUUGUGAAAUUGAUAAAUGGGUGCAGUGUGUUGAGGAUGUUGUGAAAUGUUCAUAGAUCUUCUUCUGAUCUAUUCCAAAAGAUGAAACAGUCAUCGAAGUAAUGUUUCCACUUUUUCUUGAUGUCUUCU